CGGGAAGCCAUAUGGCGACAUAGAGCGGAACCCGAAAACCUAGUCUCAGUUCGGAUUGGAGUCUGCAACCCGACUCCAUGAAGCUGGAUUCGCUAGUAAUCGCGCAUCAGCCACGGCGCGGUGAAUACGUUCCCGGGCCUUGUACACACCGCCCGUCAAGCCAUGGAAGCCGGGAGUGCCUGAAGUGCGUGAGCGCAAGCAGCGCCCUAAGGUAAAACCGGUGACUGGGGCUAAGUCGUAACAAGGUAAC
Molecule: ribosomal RNA, 250 nt
Filed under: uncultured bacterium
Lineage: Bacteria
Description: partial 16S ribosomal RNA
Rfam family: Bacterial small subunit ribosomal RNA
Source: RNAcentral